Molecule: ribosomal RNA, 450 nt
Filed under: uncultured bacterium
Lineage: Bacteria
Description: partial 16S ribosomal RNA
Rfam family: Bacterial small subunit ribosomal RNA
Source: RNAcentral
GUAGGGAAUCUUCGGCAAUGGACGAAAGUCUGACCGAGCAACGCCGCGUGAGUGAAGAAGGUUUUCGGAUCGUAAAACUCUGUUGUUAGAGAAGAACGUUAAGUAGAGUGGAAAAUUACUUAAGUGACGGUAUCUAACCAGAAAGGGACGGCUAACUACGUGCCAGCAGCCGCGGUAAUACGUAGGUCCCAAGCGUUGUCCGGAUUUAUUGGGCGUAAAGCGAGCGCAGGUGGUUUCUUAAGUCUGAUGUAAAAGGCAGUGGCUCAACCAUUGUAUGCAUUGGAAACUGGUAGACUUGAGUGCAGGAGAGGAGAGUGGAAUUCCAUGUGUAGCGGUGAAAUGCGUAGAUAUAUGGAGGAACACCGGUGGCGAAAGCGGCUCUCUGGCCUGUAACUGACACUGAGGCUCGAAAGCGUGGGGAGCAAACAGGAUUAGAAACCCCUGUAGUCC